RNAcentral lists this ribosomal RNA (1346 nucleotides) under uncultured bacterium. RNAcentral describes it as "partial 16S ribosomal RNA". It matches the Rfam family "Bacterial small subunit ribosomal RNA", at positions 28 to 1381 of the family's 1533-position model. The record is from RNAcentral.
GACGAACGCUGGCGGCGUGCUUAACACAUGCAAGUCGAACGGAAAGGCCCUGCUUUUGUGGGGUGCUCGAGCGGCGAACGGGUGAGUAACACGUGAGUAACCUGCCCUUGACUUUGGGAUAACUUCAGGAAACUGGGGCUAAUACCGGAUAGGAGCUCCUGCUGCAUGGUGGGGGUUGGAAAGUUUCGGCGGUUGGGGAUGGACUCGCGGCUUAUCAGCUUGUUGGUGGGGUAGUGGCUUACCAAGGCUUUGACGGGUAGCCGGCCUGAGAGGGUGACCGGCCACAUUGGGACUGAGAUACGGCCCAGACUCCUACGGGAGGCAGCAGUGGGGAAUAUUGCACAAUGGGCGGAAGCCUGAUGCAGCAACGCCGCGUGCGGGAUGACGGCCUUCGGGUUGUAAACCGCUUUCGCCUGUGACGAAGCGUGAGUGACGGUAAUGGGUAAAGAAGCACCGGCUAACUACGUGCCAGCAGCCGCGGUGAUACGUAGGGUGCGAGCGUUGUCCGGAUUUAUUGGGCGUAAAGGGCUCGUAGGUGGUUGAUCGCGUCGGAAGUGUAAUCUUGGGGCUUAACCCUGAGCGUGCUUUCGAUACGGGUUGACUUGAGGAAGGUAGGGGAGAAUGGAAUUCCUGGUGGAGCGGUGGAAUGCGCAGAUAUCAGGAGGAACACCAGUGGCGAAGGCGGUUCUCUGGGCCUUUCCUGACGCUGAGGAGCGAAAGCGUGGGGAGCGAACAGGCUUAGAUACCCUGGUAGUCCACGCUGUAAACGGUGGGUACUAGGUGUGGGGUCCAUUCCACGGGUUCCGUGCCGUAGCUAACGCUUUAAGUACCCCGCCUGGGGAGUGCGGCCGCAAGGCUAAAACUCAAAGGAAUUGACGGGGCCCCGCACAAGCGGCGGAGCAUGCGGAUUAAUUCGAUGCAACGCGUAGAACCUUACCUGGGUUUGACAUGGAUCGGGAGUGCUCAGAGAUGGGUGUGCCUCUUUUGGGGUCGGUUCACAGGUGGUGCAUGGCUGUCGUCAGCUCGUGUCGUGAGAUGUUGGGUUAAGUCCCGCAACGAGCGCAACCCUUGUUCACUGUUGCCAGCACGUUAUGGUGGGGACUCAGUGGAGACCGCCGGGGUCAACUCGGAGGAAGGUGGGGAUGACGUCAAGUCAUCAUGCCCCUUAUGUCCAGGGCUUCACGCAUGCUGCAAUGGCUGGUACAGAGAGUGGCGAGCCUGUGAGGGUGAGCGAAUCUCGGAAAGUCGGUCUCAGUUCGGAUUGGGGUCUGCAACUCGACCUCAUGAAGUCGGAGUCGCUAGUAAUCGCAGAUCAGCAACGCUGCGGUGAAUACGUUCCCGGGGCU